RNAcentral lists this ribosomal RNA (254 nucleotides) under uncultured bacterium. Its description in RNAcentral is "partial 16S ribosomal RNA". It matches the Rfam family "Bacterial small subunit ribosomal RNA", at positions 524 to 776 of the family's 1533-position model. The record is from RNAcentral.
UACGUAGGGGGCGAGCGUUGUCCGGAUUCAUUGGGCGUAAAGAGCUCGUAGGCGGUGUGUCACGUCGGCCGUGAAAACCUGCAGCUUAACUGUGGGCGUGCGGUCGAUACGGGCAUCACUGGAGUUCGGCAGGGGAGACUGGAAUUCCUGGUGUAGCGGUGAAAUGCGCAGAUAUCAGGAGGAACACCGGUGGCGAAGGCGGGUCUCUGGGCCGAUACUGACGCUGAGGAGCGAAAGCGUGGGGAGCAAACAGG